UUUUUUUUUUUUUUUUUUAAUUUAUUUAUUUACGAUAGUCACACUCAGAGAGAGAGAGAGAGAGAGAGGCAGAGACACAGGCAGAGAGAGAAGCAGGCUCCAUGCACCGGGAGCCCGACAUGGGAUUCGAUCCCGGGUCUCCAGGAUCGCGCCCUGAGCCAAAGGCAGGCGCCAAACUGCUGCGCCACCCAGGGAUCCCCUGCUUUUCUCUUCUUACGGCAUGGAGAUCAGCCUACCUUAAGAACAAAGGGAAUUCACUGAAGGGACCACCAGGUUCAGGUUCAGGACACAUACCUAAUAACAAGAACCAGAAAAUAACAGCAAGUACUAUUUAGUCAUUUGGUCAGAGUCGCCUGCUAGAUGAGUGGACUCCCAAAAGUUUAUUUCCACUGAAGAAUCUCCCUGGAGGGGCACCUGGGGUGCCUUAGUCGGUUAAGCAUCUGACUUUUGAUCUCAGUUCAGAUCUGGAAUUCACAGUCAAGAGUUCAAGCCCUGCAGUGGGCUCCAUGCUGGGUGUCCAGUCUACUUGAAAAGAAAAGAAAGGAAAAGAAAAAAGAAGAAUCUCCCUGCAAGCAGAAUCCAACUGGCCAAAAUGAGGGCACACAUUAUCCUUGGCUGUAGCAGGAGGACACAGCAACCUCUGGGACCCUUUGGCUUCUGUUUGGGAAGGCAGGACACAGAGGCUAUAUACAGCUGUGGAGCAGAGACAGGAUUAGGCAGAAUAGGGUGAAAGUGUCACCAUGCCGUGUGCCCUCUGCUAGCACUUUUCCAGAAAAACCUCCAUUUCCGUGAUCCUGUUUCCUACAAGUAACAGAGGUUACUGUCUGUGCUCUGAAGGUUAUAGCUGACAAACACCUGUUUGUUGUUCUCCUUGGUUAAAGCCCUGAGUACAGGCUUUAAAGUAGAAAUGUGCAUAAUGUCUAUAGGUAGAGGAGAAUGAAAUAGGUGGACUUAGGUUAAGUAAAGGUAUGGUGGUGGGGGACGCCCAGGUGGCUCAGCGGUUAAACGUCUGCCUUUGGCUCAGGUCAUGAUCCUGCAAUCCCAGGAUUGAGUCCCUCAUCGAGCUCCCUGCAUGGAGCCUGCUUCUCCCUCAGCCUGUGUCUCUGCCUCUCUCUCUGUGUCUCUCAUGAAUAAAUAAAUAAAAUCUUAAAAAAAAAAAAAAAAAAAAGGUAUGGUGAUAGGAGACAAGCCUGGAAGCUGAUUAUAGGGAGCUUUGUGAAGCUAAAGUGUUUGUCCUAAGGGGCGUUGCGUGGCUUAGGUGGUUAAGCAUCUGCCUUUGGCUUAGGUCAUGAUCUUGGGGGUCAGGCUCCCUGCUCAGUGGGGAGUCUGCUUCUCUCUCUCUCCCUUUGCCCCUCUUCCCCCACUUCCCUGCUUGUGCUUUCUGCUCUCUCUUGUGCUCUCUCAAAUAAAAAUUUUUUUGAAAAAAUAAAGUGUCCUGUAAGGAUAUAAUUUUUGAGCAGACAUAAAAUGAAAGCAAAUGAUUAGAUUUGGCAGUUGUGUGCAGCAUGGGCUUUAAGAAGAGACGGGAUUCCAAGAAAACAAGUUAGGUGACAUGAAUUGUCCAUAUAUACUAUGAUGGUAUUCUAAGCUGGGAAGAAAUUAUUGGUUUGAUUGUUUGUUGUAGUAGUCACUUUGCUAAAUGAUACUCCAGUUGGAGGCAUGAUAAAGCCCAGUGAAUUGCAAUAAAUUCUUCCAACAACUUACUCAUUAAAUUGAUAGCUAUAUGGGACCUGUGGUCCCAACAAAUUGAGGAUUUCUUGAUAUUAAUGACAUUCUUUGUGGUGCUGAAAUCCUAUCUUGGUUUCCUCUUUACUAUCCACAGUUAUAUUCUUUCUAAGCCUUAUAAUACUGCUUAAAUGGUAUACAUUUAAUAUCUUUAGUGCUAAGUCAUUUAGUGAAUGCUUUCCUUUUUUAUUCAUUUUCAAUCCAGAGCUUUACAAACUUUAAUUGGCCAAGUUUAGGAUUCAAUAAACUCAAGAAACUUUUAAAAAUCAUGUGUUCAUGGGGAGCCUGGGUGGCUCAGUCAAUUAAGCAUCUAACUCUUGAUUUCAGCUCAGGUCAUGAUCUCAGGGUUAUGAGCUAGAGCCCUGUGUCAGCUCCCCACUCAGUAGAGAGUCUGUUUCUCUCCCUCUCCAUUUACCCCUCCCUCAGCUCCUACUUUCUGUCUCUAAAAUAAAUAAAUCUUAAAAAAAAAAAAAAAAACAUAUGUUCACUUCUGUUAUCAAACCACAAAUGCAUUUUCAUAAAACUUAUUAGAAAAUCUUUUGGUUUGUCUUGGGGCACCUGGGUGGCUCAGUCUGCUGAGCAUCUGCCUUUGACUCAGGUCACUAUCUCAGGGUCCUGGGAUGGAGCCCUGCAAUGGGCUCCCUGAUCAUCGGGGAGUCUGCUUCUCCCUCUCCCUCUGCUGGUGCUUGCAUGUACUCUCUCUCAUGCUCCCUCUCUUAAAUAAAGUCUUUAAGAAAAUCUUUUAGUUUGUCUCUUGGAAUUGCUUAUUUGUUUCAAGGGACAUAUUAUUAUUGGUUUAAACAAACUGCUUCAUUUUCAGUUUCCUUAUUAGUUUUAUUUUAUUUUAUUUUUUUAAAAAUUUUUAUUUAUUCAUGAUAGGCACACAGUGAGAGAGAGAGAGAGAGGCAGAGACACAAGCAGAGGGAGAAGCAGGCUCCAUGCACCGGGAGCCUGACGUGGGAUUCGAUCCCGGAUCUCCAGGAUCGCGCCCUGGGCCAAAGGCAGGCGCCAAACCGCUGCGCCACCCAGGGAUCCCUCCUUAUUAGUUUUAUAUGUCCAAUUCUUUAUGGUUGACUUAAUCUGUCAGCUUUUUUUUUUUUAAAUAAUUUUUAAAAUUUGUUUCUAAAGUAAUCUCUACAUUCAACAUGGGGCUCAAACUCAUGACCCCAAGAUCAAGAGUCAAUCUGUCAGCUUUAAUAAAUCAUUUCUUUCUUGUAAAACAUUGACAUCUGUUAAAAAAAUAACUUAUUACAAUUAACUCUCUUUAAAGGUUUUACUUUCCUGGUGUUUAGUCAUCAUAUUUUAUAAUUUCUGUUAAGUGACUUUACAAAGUUUUGGUAAGAUAUACAAAUCACUUUUGCAGCUCACUAAUAAAUCUUCCGUUAUUCAUUUAACCAAUUCUCAGAUCUUCAGAUACUAUUUUCUUUCUCUAUGUACAGUAAUAAAUAUAAUUCAAGGGUAAUUAAUGGGUCAUUCUCCUAGAGCAUACAGUGCUUUAUAAAGAAUGCACAUAGGGGCACCUGGGUGGCUCAGUCAGUUGAACGUCUGACUCUUGGUUUAGGCUCAGGUCAUGAUCUCAAGAUCAGGGGAUCGAGGCCCUUGUUGGUCUCUGCGCUCAGCAUGGAGUCCACCUGAGAUUCUCUCUCCAUCCUCUCUCCCCAACUAAAAUUAAAAAAAACAAUAAAAUCUUAAAAAAAAAAUGCACAUAAUACAGCAACUAGUGCUACAAAGGUUUCCCAGACAUCUCCAUGAAAAGAUGCUCAUUAAUCAAUGGUCAUAAAACAUUCUACACAAUUAAGUUGAACUCAUGGGUUAAUAUUGAAACUUACAUUACUUAUACUUACUAACAUUAACAUAACUUAUAUUACUAACACUAUUGCUUAUUACACUACUAUAUAUUUUACUAGCUAGUAUAUAGUAAAAAUAAGCUGUACUACUUGUUAAGGUCCAAUAUAUUCAAUCACAUAAAAUGUGAAGUUGCCUUACUGUAAGAUUAAUGAAAUAACCAGAAGAAGUCUGUAAUAGCCAGCUGGAGGUGUGUGUGUGUAUGUCUGUGUGUGCACGUGCACGGAGGGGGGGGGGGGGGGGGGAUGAUGGUCGAGAAGCCGAAUGCCAACUGCAUUAUAUCUGAAUUCACAUUAUUGUGGGGUCCAUUAUGAUGAUUCAUUUUCUGUAUUGUAACCACCAAAUAUCAGCAACAGUUUUUUGUUUUUUAAAGAUUUAAUCUAUUUAUUAUUUUUAUUUAUUUUUUAAAAGAUUUUAUUUAUUCAUGAGAGACACAGAGACAGAGAGAGGCAGAGACACAGGCAGAUGGAGAAGCAGGCUCCUUCACAUCAGCAGGUAGCCUGAUGUGGUACUCGCACCAAACCGCUGAGCCACCCACGGAUCCCCAGAUUUUAUCUAUUUAUUUGACUGAGCACACAAGCAGGGGGGAGUGCAUGCAGAAGCAGAGAGAGAAGCAGGCCUCCCACCCAGCAGGGAAGUCGAUGUGGGGCUCAAUCCCAGGACCCUGGGAUUACCACCUGAGCUGGAGGCAGACAUCUAACCAACUGAUCCAUCCAGGCAUCCCAACAAAGCUUGUUCUGACAGGGAAAAUGCAAAGUAGGGAGUCAGGCAAGAGACAUUUCAAAGGACAAAUCUAUAGGACUUGGGAGGACUGGAUAGAUGGAGGAGAUGGGGGUAAAUAAAAUACACAUUCCUGGAUCACUUGAAGCAUAAAGAUUGUGACAGAAAAUGCAGCAGUAAAGUGGUUUCAUUUCAUUGCUUGGAUUGGUAGAGGGAUAGGAAUGGAAAUAUAGGUUGGUUUUAAUUAUGUUACUGGAAGGUGAUGAUGGAAAGAUCAAGUGACUAGGCAGUUACAGGACUUGAAUUUGAGGUCAGGCUUCAGAUAAAAAUGGUAAUCACGGACAAAACAGUAAGCAGUCUACGAAUUCUUUCAGAAGUGAACAGAACAUUGAAUAAGAAUUUAAGAAAAAAUUAAGAGGUAGAACCACAUUAACACAAAAAGUAACAUUUGAAGUUUAUGGUAUCUUUUCACAUUUGUUAUUUUAAUGGAACCCUUGAGGGGUGGGGGAGAUUAGUUUCAAGUAGAUUUAUUCAUUCAUAAAUAUUUAUUAAGUGCUUCUGGGAAUACAAGGGUGAAUAAGUAACAGUCCUUGCCCUUAAUGGGUUUCCAAUCCAAUGGGAGAGGCAGACAAGUAAAUAAUUAGGGGCCCUGAUUCUAGUACUAACAAU
This 4959-nucleotide long non-coding RNA is filed under the name Canis lupus familiaris (dog). Its description in RNAcentral is "lncRNA (ENSCAFG00845003420.1)". Lineage: Eukaryota; Metazoa; Chordata; Mammalia; Carnivora; Canidae. The record is from RNAcentral.